GAGCAGGAACAUUCGGCUCGGUCAUUCCGUGACUUUUAAUCAUGGGGUCGAGGGUUCGAGUCCCUCCGCGCUCACCA
RNAcentral lists this transfer RNA (77 nucleotides) under Bradyrhizobium septentrionale. Its description in RNAcentral is "tRNA-Lys". RNAcentral also lists the same sequence under 1 other name. Lineage: Bacteria; Pseudomonadati; Pseudomonadota; Alphaproteobacteria; Hyphomicrobiales; Nitrobacteraceae. The record is from RNAcentral.